Molecule: long non-coding RNA, 1181 nt
Organism: Cheilinus undulatus (humphead wrasse)
Lineage: Eukaryota; Metazoa; Chordata; Actinopteri; Labriformes; Labridae
Exons: 3
Source: RefSeq, a predicted model, not a curated record
AGAGAACAUCACACGUUCCGACAGGUGUGCUUCAGUCGACAAAAACAGUCCGCCACGUAAGGAUGAAAAUGAGCGGAGCCCUCUCCUCCGUGUGAAUCCUGCCUCCUCUGAGCUGUUGCUUCUUUCUGCAGACUCAGGACUGGUGAUCCUGCAGCUUUAACCGUCCGCUGUGCUACUGACCCGUGUGCGAACGCUCAGAGCUCAUUCUGCAUGUUCUCUAUAUGAGCGGCUUCACUGGCUCUGCAUGGGAAGACUCCAUGGCUAUUUAUAGACAUCCAAAUGAGAGGACAUGAGGAUUCCCUGUGGGAAAACUCUCCGGGUAUAAACCACCAGAGAACCGGAGGAAUGCAUCACUGCAGGGUCACUGGAACACAGCGUUAAGUCAUGUAUGUGUUUAAGAGGAAAAUAUUUCUGGACUUUUGUCGAAAGGAGAAGCGGAAUAUUUCAGUUCCUAAUGGACUUUUUUUUUUGGUUUCUUUGUCUUCCCUGGGAAACCUCUUCCGUCAUCCUCAUCCUCCUCACUGCAGGAAAUGAUGAGUUUUAUGUUUCUUGUUUGUUUUGAAUCAAUUAAGGGUGAACAUGAGCAGCGGAAGGACAAAACAAGACAAUAAUACCAACUAGAGUCAGUCAGAAGUCAAAAAGCAUCAUGUAAAUUUGAAUUUCAUGGACAGACCACCAGUUUACUUCUAGUAAGCCUCAGUGAUACUGGAGUAAAGGGAUUAUGCUGCAAUGGGGAUAUGAAAUGCCACUAACCAAUCAAAAUGUCACUAUAACUACCUAUAAUAAUGAAAAAACACUAAGCAAACAUAAUGACAUCCCUGACAUAUCUCACUCUCUGCUGUUGCACUGAAGCGUUAUCGAUGGAAGCAAUGUUUCUGUGUUCAAAUCUGGUUUUACGCACAUUAAAAUAAAAUGGGUUGACAAGUUUAAAAAUAAGAAAACAGGAAACGUCAGGUGUUUAUUGAAAAAGGAAUCAUAGUGGCAGUGCAACAGUUUCAACAAUAGUUAAAGGUGUGUCAGGUCUGAGCUGAUUCAAAGCAGCAGGCUUGUAGCUGAGAGUGGUGGUCAAAGGAGAGGUUGUAAAUACUGAGCUCUGCUUAAGCUCCAUUUAUUCAUCCAUUAAAACCUUAUAUCAGACAAACUCUUCACAGUUAAAGUUCCCACUUGUUAUGUUGUUUGAA